Molecule: long non-coding RNA, 1067 nt
Organism: Oncorhynchus keta (chum salmon)
Lineage: Eukaryota; Metazoa; Chordata; Actinopteri; Salmoniformes; Salmonidae
Exons: 3
Source: RefSeq, a predicted model, not a curated record
UUGAGAUGGUUUGGGAUGAGUCGGACCGCAGAGUGAAGAAAAAGCAGCAAAAAAGUGCUCAGCAUAUGUGGGAACUCCUUCAAGACUGUUGGAAAAGCAUUCCAGGAGAAGCUGGUUGAGAGAAUGCCAAGAGUGUGCAAAGCUGUCAUCAAGGCAAAGGACCAUCGUCUGUCCGAGGACCUCAGGAGGUAUCCCAUCCACCAGAACCAGUGAGUUCGGAUCAGUCUGAUUCUCUGUGCUCUGAGUCUCAGGGGGACCAGCUUGAGGACCUGUUAAUGCUGAUCCUGUUCUCCAGGACCUGUUAAUGCUGAUCCUGUUCUCCAGGACCUGUUAAUGCUGAUCCUGUUCUCCAGGACCUGUUAAUGCUGAUCCUGUUCUCCAGGACCUUGGGGUUCUGCCCAACACCCAGAUGUGGAUCCACCUGAUGUCCUCCAUUUCCAACUACCCUCCAACUUUCCAUUACAUCAGCUACAGCUACUGUUAUUGUCAUGUUGUCAUUAUCUGCUAAGAAAGUUCUUGCUCUAUCAUACUGGACACAUAAUAUGUGAGAUACACAAAUGAACUAAAAAUACUAGCACUGCAAAGAGUGCAGCAGUGCCUGGAAUUUUCAGUCUCGCUCUUCAAGUCCCCCUUCCAGAGACUUGCUUCCUGUUGAGAACAAGUGACAGGCAGAACCUCCCACCCACACAGCAACCACCUCUAUAUUCCACACACCAGAAUUCUAUGAUUGCCAUAUGAGUAUACAACAAAAAUCUGUGAAUUUAAAUUAAUGACACAACUGUACCAAAAACUAUCAAAAUGUAUAUAUUCAAAUCUUAAAUAUUGCUAGUUGGGUUUUCACAGCUGUUUCACAAGGUGUUCAUUGUAAGUUGUAAUGUAUAUUUUGAUGGUAUUUAUUUGUUCCACAUUAUUCAUUGUUGCAUCCUAGGACCUACAACAGAUACAUAUAUAUUCAACCAUAAGGGUAAUAAUGAGCUAUGUGAGUGUCACUUACGUUGGAAUGAAUAUCGGACCAAGGCGCAGCGUAUGUUGAGUUCCACAUAAUUUAAUAAAGAAGUGAAACUUUA